UUCUGUGGGGGCGGAGCGGCCGGCCGCAACUUGCGGUUCGAGCUAGCGCUUCCCCCACAUCCUGCCGCGAACCGUGCUACCAUUAGUUUGGUGGCGCCGGGGAUCGGCUCGUUUACUUUGAGAAAAAUAGAGUGUUCAAAGCAGGCCACACGCCUUGAAUAAGUUAGCAUGGAAUAAUAAUAAAGGACUUCGGUUCUAUUUUGUUGGUGUUCGGGACUGAAGUAAUGAUUGAUAGGGACAGUUGGGGCGGUCAGUAUUCCAAAGCGAGAGGUGAAAUUCUUAGACCUUCGGAAGACUAACAGCUGCGAAAGCGUUCCGCAAGGAUGUUCCCUUUGAUCAAGAACGAAAGUUGGGGGAUCGAAGACGAUCAGAUACCGUCGUAGUCUCAACUAUAAACUAUACCAGCUAGGGAUCGGCCAACGUUAAAUUAUUCGACUUGGUCGGCACCUUAUGAGAAAUCAAAGCAUCUGGGUUCCGGGGGGAGUAUGGUCGCAAGGCUGAAACUUAAAGGAAUUGACGGAAGGGCACCACCAGCCGUGGAGCCUGUGGCUUAAUUUGACUCAACACGGGAAAACUUACCAGGUCCAGACAUAGUAAGGAUUGACAGAUUGAUAGCUCUUUCUUGAUUCUGUGGGUGGUGGUGCAUGGCCGUUCUUAGUUGGUGGAGUGAUUUGUCUGGUUAAUUCCGUUAACGAACGAGACCCCAGCCUGCUAAAUAGCGCGGUUGAGCUUUGCUCGGCGCGAGCUUCUUAGAGGGACUAUGAUGCGCGAUAGCACAUGGAAGUUUGGGGCAAUAACAGGUCUGUGAUGCCCUUAGAUGUUCUGGGCCGCACACGGGCUACACUGGCGCCUGCAACGAGCAUAUCAGCUGGCCCGAGAGGGUCUUGGCUAAUCUUUUGAACCGGCGCCGUGCUUGGGAUUGACCAUUGCAAUUGUUGGUCAUGCAACGAGGAAUGCCUUGUAAACGCGAGUCAUCAACUCGCAUUGAAUACGUCCCUGCCCUUUGUACACACCGCCCGUCGCUCCUACCGAUGAUGUUCCGAUGAAAUUUUCGAAA
RNAcentral lists this ribosomal RNA (1057 nucleotides) under uncultured eukaryote. RNAcentral's name for it is "SSU rRNA". It matches the Rfam family "Eukaryotic small subunit ribosomal RNA", at positions 640 to 1715 of the family's 1831-position model. The record is from RNAcentral.